AUGGCCGGAAUUGUCAACAAGGAGUUUGCUGAGUUGGUCUAGACAGGGCUGAACUACCUGCCAUGGUCCUCGGACUGCGAGAUUUUUAGCCAGGGAAAAAGCCUCAUGAGGACGAUCGGUAAGGGGACCCAGCUGGCCCCCAAUGAUCCCAAGUUCAAAACUGAGAAUGCGCAGGCCCUGCAUUUUCUCCGUCAUCACCUGUCACCUACUCUGGAAGACGAGUAUAUGGCUGAGCGGAGUGUUUCUGGCCUUCGGACCGCUCUUCAGCAGCGGUUUGAGCGGCUGAAGUACACUAUGAAGCCAUGUGCAAAAACAGAGUGGAUUCGUCUGAGCCACAAGAUAGAGAAAACCUUAUCCACUUUCCACCCUGACAUGGUCCAGUCCUCAUGGAACUACCGCCAGGGAAACUACAUGAGGUAUUCAGAGUUGAUUGAUGUCCUCCAGGUGGCGGAGGAGCAGGACAAGGUUCUGAAAAAGAACUUUGUCGCGCAACCACUUGGGGAGUUAUCGUCAGGAGGUGAACGCUCUCAAAGUACGCAAGCCUUAACAGAAGAAGAGGAGCCGCAAGGGCAAGAAGAAGGGCCCUCAACCCUCCGCCCCAGGUGUGGCUCGAUGGAGCAUUUCUUUCGCCAGUGUCGCGCACCAUAGGAGGUCGUUGAUGCAUGCAAGGCUCGGAAGGCGUGUGAGACACACCUCGCCUUGGUUCAGGAGGGAGCACCACCGGCGCCCGUUGUCGGUGUCAAAACCGGCGGAUCUCGGGUAGGGGGUCCCGAUCUGUGCGUCUAA
This 786-nucleotide ribosomal RNA is filed under the name Triticum aestivum (bread wheat). RNAcentral's name for it is "partial small subunit ribosomal RNA". Lineage: Eukaryota; Viridiplantae; Streptophyta; Magnoliopsida; Poales; Poaceae. The record is from RNAcentral.